UGAGGGUGCAUUGAGAUUUGGCUUUGUACUGGAACUUUGUUGCAUUUUGAUGUCCAAACAAUGGCAGUCACCAUGUGCCUCUUAGUCAUCCAACAUCCACAACAAGGCUGCAAUCUAUUAGGAUGUGGACCUGACCACAGCGAUCCUUUAUCACAUCAAGACUGGAGUACACUCAUUAAUAUAUAAUCUCUGUGAGAUAUUUUUACCAUGUUAAUUUCAGCCUCAUGAAAGUGCUCAGACACCACAGAGGCAAGUUAGAUAACUCAGAAAUUUCAGCUGGAGCAAAAUGCACCUGCCUGUAUAUUAAUUGUUGUUAUGUAGAGCUAAAUUAUCACAUUACUUAGCUAUUCAGGGGAGUAAGUGUAAAUUACUGCUUGCCUGUGUGGCACUCCUUUGACUCCAGCCAUAUUGGAAGAAGAGGGGUUACUCCUUUUUAUGAACAAAUAGGCUAGGAAGAAAGGGGGAGUGCAAAGAACCUUGGCUUCCUCUCCCACAUUAAUCAGCCAAACAAGCAGGUGAAGUGCACAGGUCUGCAACCCCUUAUGAAGCGCCCCCCAUACAAACAAACUCUUUAAACACUUCAUUAACUUGCACCAGGGACUGCCACAGAACACCUAAUUACAGGAGAUGAAACUUAUUUCCUCUCAGUCCUUGUCACCAGUGAAGAGAGGAAUCUGGGCCUAUGCAUCGCUGAAAGCUUGGUGGUGAAGGUAUUGAAAAGGAUAGGAGAUGAGGGACCCUGAUUUUUUCCUCUAUUCAACUGUAAAACAUUUUAAUGGAGUUGAAAAGUGAAAGAUUGCUCAUCACUGCUUGAUUUGCUGGGCAGCAGACUGAAGACAAGGUUUUAAAUAACUGUGGCAUGGUUACCAUUCUUCUCAGCAACCAAGUGAACUUCUUUCAGAGGCUGCAAAAGAUUACUUGUUUCCAGCAAAGGAGGAGAAUACUUUUUGUUCCCAUGCCAUGAGAUGUGACCUUUAAAGGAUAUUUCAGUUAUAACCUACUUCUGACUUUGAAUAUCCUUUGGGAACCUUUCAGCAAUGAAGAAGAAAUUCUUCCACCAAUGAAAAAAGAUCUACAAAUAAGUUCCUGGAAAAAGAAUAUAGUAGGCAACAUCUUCAUCCACAGAAGAAUAAUGUCCAAAACCAAAUUGAUUAACAUAGUUUUUAAAUGAGGUUAACAAGUUGCAAAGAGAUUACAGAGAUAUUGAAGAUUUCUAACUCCAUGCUGUAGCAAGUGCUAUUGGAUGAGAUUCUGGUGUUAACACUACCCUUGCAACUUCAUUGAUUUCCACUCAGACAUACAGCAUACAAAACUGGUGUAAAAAAGGGCAGCAUCUGGCUCAUUCAGCUAAUUGUAGUGAAAUUGAAGGUGAAUUUGAUCCAUAUAUUCAAAUUCAAGCAAGUAAUUCUUUUCAAAACACUUCAGCUACUAAAAUGCAUUCACAUUAAACAACCCCGUCCCCAUUUAGUCACAUUUGCACUUGUAAUGAAUUCUGUGAGAGAAAUGUUGUUCCAGCUGUAUGCAGUGUCUCAACAAAAUAUUGCAAGCUUGCCACUUACUGCCCCCAGAUCUGUAAUCUAGCUGGAAUAUUUUAAAAUAUGAUUUCAGAUUCUUAACAAGCACAGAGCAUAGCCGUGACAUGUUUUAAAAUAAAAUCUCAUCUUCCAAGAUAGUUCAAAUUUUGAACUAUUUAGUCUGCACUAAAUCUUCUUUUAAAGUAUGUUAAAGGCCAAUUCAAGUGUUUACUGCUGUAUGUAUAAUUCAGACCUUGUUUCAGAAAAGCUUACUUGGACUGGACAAAAGUGGGUAGUCCCUCAGGAGGCGCUUACCGUGACCCCAGUAAUGAAUCACUAGAGAAGGUGAGAUUUGGCACUUAAGCUGAGGUUGUCCAAGGUUUGAUUUCAAUAUAAUUUGCAUAACACUGAAAACUAGAAUCUUACAUUUUUAACACUGUAAAUGAGCCCUUACACUGCAAGACCAGAAUUACAAUAAGGCAGCAGAAACUGCCCCAGGCAUGCACUUUCCUCUAGAGGACAGACAAGAAGAUGGUCAUUUUUAAAAGAGUCUCUACUGCUACUCUGCAUAGCUAUGAAGAAUAGUAAUCAUAAUGGCUUGUGUAAUGCAGAGAAAUGUAGUGUAUAAGGAAUGUAGCAUGGCUUUCCUUAAAACCCUACAAUUUAUUUACACAAUUGUAUGCCAAUUCCAUUAGUGGUGGAGUGAAACCAAGCUGUAGUGUAUAUAGAUAAAGUAUCCAGACCA
Mauremys reevesii (Reeves's turtle) is the source of this 2259-nucleotide long non-coding RNA. RefSeq lists it as uncharacterized. The transcript is spliced from 3 exons. Lineage: Eukaryota; Metazoa; Chordata; Testudines; Geoemydidae. The record is from RefSeq and is a predicted model, not a curated record.